CUCCGCACACUGACCUUACACACUGGACAAUAUUUAAGGAUGAAGGUGCCAUCCUAUAAAGAGGUGAUUAUUAUUAUUCUAUUAUUAUUAUUAUUAUUAUUAUUACUGCUAAAUAGCAAUGCUGUAGAGAAAGUUUGUUAGUAGUUGUCAUCUUGUAAACGUUCCUAGUUUGGACAUGCUUUUGUUUUUAAUCUGAAAAAUGUUUAUUUACGUAACUUUUCAACCAGUGUCUGUCUUUAUUUUCUUCCUUUUUUUUUUUUUUUUUUUUUUUUGCCUUCCUCUCCCCCUUCGGCUCAGGGAGGGGGGGGGGUUGCCUAACUUGAGAAAUAAUAACUUUAAAAAUAAUAACUUUAAAAAGAAGACCUUUAAAAAGAAUAACUUUAAAAAGAAUAACUUUAAAAAAUAAUAACUUUAAAAAUAAUAACUUUAAAAAGAAUAACUUUAAAAAUAAUAACUUUUAAAAUAACACAAUUUGCUCUGUUGUGUUUUGUCGCUAUUUCUCGUGUUUCUACCAGAAUUUUUUCCAGCCUUCUCUCCUCUAUCCCCGGCUCGGCUUUGGCGCUGCUUGCGGGGUUUUCCCCCUCGGUUUGUCGCGGCAGCCGCGCCGGGAGGGCCGCGGGCAGCCGGGAGGGGUCGGCGGGGAGGGCGGCCGCUCUGCUCUCCUUUCAGGUGGAAGGCAGCGCUCCCCAGGGACGGGGGAAGCCGCCAGCCAGCCCAGGACAGGGGGGAGAGGAAGGACAGCCACCCCCGGAGCUCCGGGAGCCCCCCAGGACCUGCCGCCCCCCCAGCGGAGGGAGCGAGCGCCGGGGCUGAGGCGCUUUGAAGAGAGGAGCGAAGUGUAAAUAGCCGGUGAUUGAUGUGCUGGCUUUGACUGCGGAGAAAGCACUAUUUUAAUUCAAGUGGCCAGGUCAGAUGGUCACGGAAGAAGGUUGAAAGGGAACUCGGAGCCACGUGUCGCCUAAAAUGCCGAAGCGGUGCCUGUGAAUUCCUGCCCCGAGGACGCCGUUCCACGGCGCGCCGGGCACCCCGAGGUUGGAAAAACAAGCCCUUCCCAACCUCACCGGUGAAACAGGAGCUCGAGUGUUCCUAACUCAAUAUUCUGAAAUAUUUCUUCCAGCCAUCCCGGACUCUCGCUGUCCCCGCGUCCCCCACCGAACCGCUCCCGGGACGGGCGGAUUUCAGUUUGAAAACCUCGUCCCGGGUUAUUUCUCGCUGUUAUUGGAGCGGGUAGAGCCGGGAGAGCCGCGGCUGGCCAGGGGAGGAUGCCCCGGUGGCCGCGUCCCCGUCCCCGAGCCGGGGAACGAGGGUCACGGAGGGUUCGGAGCACCGGGUGGGCACCGCGGCCGUGCCCCCCGCAGCCCCAGCCCCGCACAGCCUCGGCUUUUGUUUUCUCGCCAAAAUCCCCCCAUCUCCAUCACCCUGAGUCCCCCAGGAAUCAGCUCCUGCGGGGAACAGCCCCGCUCCGGCGGAGCCGCUCGGGGAUAUUUGGGGAGAAACAAAACGCUUUCGGGGGUGCACGGUUGGGGUGGGUGUGGGGGGAGCACGGUUUGAGGUGAUGCUUCUGCAAACGAAAGCACCGAGAAGCGAUGGAAAGCCGCCGUGCCGGGGCUGCCCCGGUUGUCACCGGCUCUGCCCGUGCCGCUUCCCCGGCUCCGGCCGCGUUCCUGCCGGGCCGAGGCGGCGGGGCCGGGCUGCGGCGCUUUGCCGGCCCGGGAAAGGGGAAAAAGGGGGAAAAAGGGGGAAAAGGGGAAUAAACCCCCACUAAAAUAAAAAAUAGAUAAAAGGGUGAAAAAAGAUUGGGAAAAAAAAAGAGAGAGAACGAAUAUGGAAGGUGCCGGGGUGUGCUGGCUGUGGGCUGCGGGGCGUGUGGGGAAGGACACGCUGCCACCCCCGACACGAGUGGGAUCCCUUCCCGCAGCGGUUGCAGUUCUGGUCCCGGGAACCGGCCCCGUUUGCCCGGCUCGCUGUAAGCCCGAGCAGCUCGGGGCUGGUGGCGAGGGCACUCCGGGCACUGCGGGCACAGCCCGUCCGGGACACGCUCCUGCUCCCACCGGGGCUCAGCAAAGCCCCUCAGCGAGCUGUGCGCCGGGCAGACAGACCCUCGAACCCCCCGGAACCCCCGAACCCCCCCCGUGUCCCGGCGGGCGAGCAUCCCGCGGUGGGCACCGGCUUUUGCAGCCUGCACCUGUCUGAGUGCGUGUCGCUUCCACGGGGAACGGCAAAUGAAUGACCGUGGAGGGAGAGAGGGAGAAGCGGCAGGGUCAAGGCGGGUGGCUGCCAAGGAGCCGGAGCCCUGCCCGGCCUGGAGCCGCUCCGGGCUCCGCCACUGCCCCAGGAAUUCUGCCCACGGGCAGCCCGGGGCAGCGCGGGGAUGGCUGAAGGGGAAAACCGCUCCAUCGAUUUGCCAUCGAGAUUUAAUAAUCAUCUCCCGCAGGGAAAGAAGCAGCCAAGCCCCUCUGCAGCCCACGCGUGUCAGGGGAUGGGGACCCGCCGGGCCGAGGGGUGUCUGUGGGGUCUGGGGGCUCAGGGGAGCGGGGGGUCCCGAAAUGAGCCUGCUCGGGGUUGAUCCCCUCCGCCCUCGCCCCUCUUUGCUCCUCCAGCCCGGCCCUGCUAACAGAGAUUUCAGCCCCCGCGGCGUGGGGGGGUCCCCGCAGCCCUGGAGCGGCAGGAAUUCACGGGUGGGUUCCUCACGGGUGGGUUCCUCGGCAUCUCCGGCACAAGCCGCGUGUUCCCAGGUGUUCUGCGGGGAAACACGCUGCAGGUGAAGCGCUGCGUGGGAACUGCCCGGCUCCCAUCCCCGCGUGGCCCUCCCGGGAGCCGCGGGCUCGGGUGGGCACCCACGGGGGCACGGGAGAGGGGAAAGGCUCUUGGCGAGCUGUUUUGCACAAGUAUUUCCAAGCAGUAAAGAAGAUUAAAAUGGUUGAGCCCGUCCAGCUUGUCCGGGCGCUGCCGCACGCCCCGAGUCGCCCCUUCCCGAGGAUUUUCGCAUCAAUCGCUCCUUGUUUCUGCGCACGGGAUUAAACCGGGAAUUAAAUAUUUGAAACUACGCAAGAACCCGGUGGCACAGGACGGGGGUGGCAGAUCAGGCGCUGGGAAAUGUCACACGCUUUCCCUGGGGAUUUGCCCUGUUAAUCUGCCGCUAAUUAGCGGCGGGAGCAUCCACGGGGAUGCUGAGGAGCUGCUUCGCACCCACGCGUGGGGCAGCGCUCUCCGCAUCCUCCCAGCCCGGGGAUGCCGACACCUCCCCAGCCCCGCUCCCUGCGAGCAGCCGGCGCAAGGGGGCGGAUAAGGACAGCCGGGAGCCCCGAAGGACAACCGGGAGCCCCGGGCCACCCCCGGGCCACCCCCGUGCCGCGGGGACACCGGGGGAACCCCACCGAGCAUCCCUCGCCCCGGCCGGGCGGCGGGGACAGCUCGCCCUCCCAGCAGCGGCUGUGCUGGCGGCCGGGGAGAGGAGAAAAACAUAAAAAUAACAAAAAUUAAACACUGCAGAGGUGGCUGCGCCCCCUCUCCCCGCUGGAAGGAGGUGGCGGGUCCUCCCACCGAUGCUGGGGCCGCUCCGAGCGCACCCAGGUAGGAGAUGGAGCUCAGGGUGGGUGUCACAUCCUCCACCCGCCAGAGCCUUUCCUGAAGUGACCUAUUUACACUCUCAUUGGUUUAAAUGAAUUUUUUUUUUUUUUUUUUACCCGAAAACCUUUGAGAAAUGCCGGAACAAGCGCCAGGCAGAAGGGGAGAAAUGGAUGCAUUUUGUACAGGGAAGGGAAAAAAAAAAUAAAUUAAGUCACUCUUGCUGGUCCCCUUAGCGAUGAAAUACACAGGGAAAGAUUAAUACUGCAGCAUAACCUGUGCCUGCAUUCACUGUCCUGCACCUCUUCCCUGAUAUUCCAGCUGCACUGAAACCCUCAAAAUGAAGUGAUCAGAUUAUUUUUUUUUCUUAUUUCUAGAAGAAAACACUGGCUCCUCCGGCCAUGAAAAAACACCGUGUCAAUUGCUAUUUCAGAUUUUUCAAAAAACAUGUUCAGCUCUAAGAAUUCCUCCGAAUUCGUUACACUCCACCGCGCGAGGCUGCGCCUUGCUGGUCCCAGCGAAGGUAAAAAUUCACGUCCUAAAAUAAGAAGUCGUAAAAAAAAAAAAAAAAAAAAAAAAAAAAAAAAAAGGAAAAGAAAAAGAAAAGCACCAUUUACAUUUGAAUAUCUAACUUGAACAUGAUUAUAAUUACAAUCGUCAGACAUCGAGCAGUGUUGUCUCCCAUGAACAGACAGUUUUGGGGAUAGAAACACAAUUUUAAUCAUAACGGUCUCUGGGAAUGAAGGGAAAUUAGUGAGUUAUAGCAUUUUUUUUCGACGUUUGAUCAAAAUAUUUUUGCCCGGAGAUUGCUUGCCAGAUGAAAGCAAAAUGGAAAGGAGGUGCGCUGUAAUUCAGCUGAGUUUUGUCACGGAAAGAGCCCGAGCUCUGUCCGGGCUGUGGUCUGCCCUUCCCGGGGGGAUUUUGGGGACACUCUCCCCUGCAGCGAGCAGCCCUGGCAGGCGGGUACCGCUGGGGCAAUUUUCCACCGAGCAUUUUGCAGCCGAAAUACCGAAUUUUGAAGGCACCACAACGACCUGAGCCGCCUUUUCCCUCGGAAUCGCCCCAACUCGCCCCGAUUUGAGGCUCGCAGGGAGCUGCUCCGCUUUUGGGGUUCCCCUUUUGGGUUCCCCUUUUGGGGUUCCCCUUUUGGGGUUCAUUGCUGCAGCCCCCAGCCGGGCCCGCAGCCCCGCAGGGUUUGGGGUUUGCGUUAAUAAAACCUUGUGGGGGUGGCGAGGGCUGAACCCCAAAUCGCUGCUCUGCCCCAAUUCGGGGCUUCCUCCGCUCGUCCCGGAGGGUGACCCCAUCCCCUGGGGAGCCCCGAUGGAGCCCUCGGGGGUGUCCCCUCGCUGUCCCCUCGUUGUCCCCUCGCUGUCCCUGCCCCAGGCUCAGCCCCUAAAGAGCAGCGCAAGUCCCCAAGGGGACACCGAGGGACCCGCGCCUGAUUCACUUGCGCUCCCCCUCGCUUAGGACGGCUGUGGCGGGGCUGGCUGGAUAAUUAUUAGCUAUUAAUUGAGUUCAAGACCUUUUUCCGCCGCUGGGAAAUGAGGAGCCCGAGCAGCGAUUCCCAAGGAGGAGCUGCCCGCAGCCCAAAGCCGCGGCCGCUCCAUCCCCGGUGGGGUGGGGAGAGAAAGGGGCGACAAAAAUUCACGAGGUGAAAAUGAUAGAAAGUUCAGAGCGAGGGAUUGAUGUCCGAAACACCUCUGGGGGAUGAGCGGGAGCGGGGGAGGGCGGCGGUGCCCGGCGGGGCGGGCCGGGGGCUGGGCCGGGGUCCCCGGGCAAGGUGAGGAGCGGGGCCCGGAGCCCCCCCGGACCCCCAGCCAGCUCCUACCGAUGCCGCUUUCUUAUCUUUGCACGCUUCCACCUUCCAAUUAAAGUUCCCCAAAUUGCCAAAAGGCUGAUUUGCAUGCAAGGGACCCCGCUCAAAGAUGCUAACUUAUUGUCUCCUCCCAGAACUGAACAUUUCUCUCUUCAGUUCCCACUUGAAAGAAGUUUUAGAACAGUAUUCAAAGACUGUCCAAACGAACAAAACCUUCCCCUUCGCUCGGGAGAGAAAUCCGGUGUAUUCAAUACGAGGGCAUAUUCUCAGAAGUUUGCAGAUUUGGGUUUAAAGGCGGUAUUGUUCGUGCCUUUUUCCUGAAACUUCUUUAUUUUUUUUUUUUCUCCCUCAGACCACGGCUCACAUGCCUGCAAAGGAUUAUUAAAAUAAAACAUCAUAGAGCAUUUUUCCUCUUUUUUCCCCCCCUUCUUUACUGUUUAGAAUUACUUUUCUGGAGGAGCUUUCCAAGCAUCGCCCCCAACCCCGCAAGUCAUAAUUAAGAACACUUUUUAUUUCCCCCUAACAAACAGGAAAAAGACUCAAGCCCUUCUCCGAAUGCUCCUUUUUCUUUAAACACUAACAGCGUUUUCUAAAAUCGGAAACAUUUAUCUGUUCCCAGAGCACCUGAAAACAUUCUUGGCGCUGGACAGACGCUGUUCUCCUACAGCCGAACAAAUUAAAGCGGCGAAAUUUUGAUACCAGAAGCAUCUGUGAAAGCAUAAAAUAAACGCGAACCUAAAUUCUUACUGGGUUUAGGGAGGGAAAAAAAGUCAAAAAAGUCCCGAAACUGUUUACAAGGCACCGGGAUCUCUGCGUUCAAACACCCCAUACACAGGCAGAGUUUUCUUUUUAGGAUUAAAAGAUGAUGAUCCAAUGGGCUGAGGAUGUAAAACUCCUUCGGGGAACGCGAUAAACUGCAAAAAGCCAGUGGCAACUCAUUCCCGAUUAACUCCUUUUUAUAAAGGGGCGGAAUGGAAGCGAACAGGGACCCGACGGGACACGAACAUAUUUUAUUCAUUUAAUACAAAGCAGCUCCU
Taeniopygia guttata (zebra finch) is the source of this 6420-nucleotide non-coding RNA. The record is from RefSeq and is a predicted model, not a curated record. Lineage: Eukaryota; Metazoa; Chordata; Aves; Passeriformes; Estrildidae.